CGGGCCCGCCCCCAUCCUGGUCUGAGCCUCUGGGCCCGCAGAGCUCGGCAGAAACCCGAGUGCUGGCCGCAGAGGGGCGCGCCCUAUGCAAAUGAGUGGGCGGAGCCUCGUGGAGGUUGCUAGCGGUAAAGACGACGCCAGAAGACAGUUUCCUUGAACUGUCGUGCUAACUACCUCUUCAUAUGUUUCCUGGGAGAUUCAAGUUAAUCCAGUAAACCUCACUAGCAAUACAGAGCAGUCCAGGAACUUGAAGCAGUUGCUUUCAAAAUCGCUACCUCUGUUAUCAUGGGAGAGUUGUGAAGAGCAUCCCAGCUGGUUUUGAAUGCAGCGCUAAUCCAAAUCCAAGGCUUUUGACAGAGUGGAGCUCACUUGCAAUGAUAACACCGACUUACACAGUUAUGUGCUGAUGAAAUCAUAAAUGUAAACGAAGAGAACAAGACCCGAAACUAAACGAAAAUUAAGGAUCAUUAGCUUCCCUUUGUGGACAAAUAUUUAUGCUAACAUGAAAUUCCCCUUCACGGAGGGUUUUGGGUGUUUCUUCUGUUAACAGUUUUAGAGGAAGGCCACAUAACCCCCGUUUUAAUAUUUUGUGGGCCAAGGAUGUACUUCACUGGAAGAGCACUCGUCUGGCCCACGCUAGACCCUGGUUUUACCCCCCAGAACCACCAAAAUAAAA
Alexandromys fortis (reed vole) is the source of this 676-nucleotide long non-coding RNA. RefSeq lists it as uncharacterized. The transcript has 3 exons. The record is from RefSeq and is a predicted model, not a curated record. Lineage: Eukaryota; Metazoa; Chordata; Mammalia; Rodentia; Cricetidae.